UACAAAAAAGUUGCAUAUUGUACUCAUUGGCAAAACAAAAUAAAUUAGAUUUUAAAAAUUCAUAUUUUCGUGUUUUCCUAUGACAGCCGCGGCGUGCCAUAGUCAGUACUCUUCAGAGCUGGAGGUUAAAUGACGUCAUAAAGUUAAUGGCGGCGUCUAUUUGAAAUGAAAAAAAAAGUUCAUAAAAUAUUUUAUCGAUACGAUUUACCGCUAAUUCAUGUAGGGUAAGUCAAAUUUAUGUUUAUUUUUCGUAAAAUUAGAAGUUAAUUUUGUAAAUAGCGAUCUUUUUGGAUGCACAUCUUUUGUAAAUGCUAUUCUCAAGACCAAACUUCUGAUAAAAGAAAUAUGCAUAUUUCAGUAUACAAAAUGUAUUUAGCUGUUUGCAAUUACUAUGCAUUGAAGUUAGCAAGCAUAAUGUUUGAUAAAUAAACGACAUUGCAUUAUAUAUUUGAGAAAAAAAGUUUCUUUGGGGGACACUCUCGUUCAUUUAUUUUUUAAGUAUGGAACGCCGUUCCCGUCAUAAUAUAUGAAAAUGUCAUCAUAAACAAAACAUGUGCGUAUGUGCAUGUUUUGACUUCAGAUUUUUUGUUCAUGAGCAAUGUUUAUACUCGUAUGCGUGUAGAAUGUUAAAAUUAAAUGAUUUACUUAAACAUUGCUGUUGUUUCGUUGUAGCUGAAGAAUUUAUAUAGCGCCAACACAGCAUAUCUUCAACAGAAAAAAAAAAACAUUUAUAUAGCGUCAACACAGCAUAUCUACAUCAGAAGAAACAAUGGUUUAAUAUCAUAUUCAAUAGUCGUGUUCUGGAUAGAAGUAGACAAGCAACUUAACAGUUCAGACUCCACCAGCAAUAGUGAAUAUAAAGCUGACGAACUGAGUAAAUGAAUAGUCAACAUUGACCCAUGACCAUCGCAACUUAGUAUAGUGUGCAAGGUAUGUAUCCUUGAGCCCUGGCAUAUUCUAACACUUAUUACACACUAUUUAGAAAAUGUAAUAUGAAGAAUGAAUGUAGCAUUGUUAUAUUUUGGCAUAUUUGUAAAUGUUGUUCACUGGUCUUUUUCUUAAAGCUGAAUGCUUCCAACAAAAAAUAUUUUCGAAAGUCAAACUUGAGGAAAAUAUACUAAAAUUCUAAGAGGCAUGCUGUUUAAAGUGUACAUUUUUACGAAGUAAUUAAAUUAAUCUUUCAGUUACAUGUAUGAAUGAACAUUGAACCUCAAGUUAUGAUGAGAAAUUUCCACAACAAUAUUCAUAUUUGUUUGCAUUUUUCACGUGAAUAAAUCUUCUUACUUUUACCAUUCAAUUUAUUGUCUAUAAAACAUACCAUAUAAAAUGAAAUAGUGCAUGAACAUAUUGUUCUUUCAGAUGGAGACGGAUAAUUGUGUGUUUUGCAACAGGUCACUU
Long non-coding RNA from Ruditapes philippinarum (Manila clam), 1398 nucleotides. RefSeq lists it as uncharacterized. The transcript has 3 exons. The record is from RefSeq and is a predicted model, not a curated record. NCBI's taxonomy places the organism in Eukaryota, Metazoa, Mollusca, Bivalvia, Venerida, Veneridae.